UACGUAGGGUGCAAGCGUUACUCGGAAUCACUGGGCGUAAAGGGUGCGUAGGCGGCUCAUUAAGUUGGAUGUGAAAGCCCUCGGCUCAACCGAGGAACUGCGUCCAAAACUGGCGAGCUCGAGGAUGGUAGGGGACAGUGGAACUCCAGGUGGAGCGGUGAAAUGCGUAGAGAUCUGGAGGAACGCCGGUGGCGAAAGCGACUGUCUGGGCCAUUCCUGACGCUGAGGCACGAAAGCCAGGGGAGCAAACGGG
Molecule: ribosomal RNA, 253 nt
Filed under: uncultured bacterium
Lineage: Bacteria
Description: partial 16S ribosomal RNA
Rfam family: Bacterial small subunit ribosomal RNA
Source: RNAcentral